RNAcentral lists this ribosomal RNA (563 nucleotides) under Debaryomyces hansenii. RNAcentral describes it as "partial large subunit ribosomal RNA". It matches the Rfam family "Eukaryotic large subunit ribosomal RNA", at positions 65 to 643 of the family's 3401-position model. Lineage: Eukaryota; Fungi; Ascomycota; Pichiomycetes; Serinales; Debaryomycetaceae. The record is from RNAcentral.
CCAACAGGGAUUGCCUUAGUAACGGCGAGUGAAGCGGCAAAAGCUCAAAUUUGAAAUCUGGCACCUUCGGUGUCCGAGUUGUAAUUUGAAGAAGGUAACUUUGGAGUUGGCUCUUGUCUAUGUUCCUUGGAACAGGACGUCACAGAGGGUGAGAAUCCCGUGCGAUGAGAUGCCCAAUUCUAUGUAAAGUGCUUUCGAAGAGUCGAGUUGUUUGGGAAUGCAGCUCUAAGUGGGUGGUAAAUUCCAUCUAAAGCUAAAUAUUGGCGAGAGACCGAUAGCGAACAAGUACAGUGAUGGAAAGAUGAAAAGAACUUUGAAAAGAGAGUGAAAAAGUACGUGAAAUUGUUGAAAGGGAAGGGCUUGAGAUCAGACUUGGUAUUUUGCGAUCCUUUCCUUCUUGGUUGGGUUCCUCGCAGCUUACUGGGCCAGCAUCGGUUUGGAUGGUAGGAUAAUGACUAAGGAAUGUGGCUCUACUUCGGUGGAGUGUUAUAGCCUUGGUUGAUACUGCCUGUCUAGACCGAGGACUGCGUCUUUUGACUAGGAUGUUGGCAUAAUGAUCUUAA